This 579-nucleotide ribosomal RNA is filed under the name uncultured bacterium. Its description in RNAcentral is "partial 16S ribosomal RNA". It matches the Rfam family "Bacterial small subunit ribosomal RNA", at positions 355 to 1376 of the family's 1533-position model. The record is from RNAcentral.
UAAGGAAUAUUGCUCAAUGGGAGAAAUCCUGAAGCAGCAACGCCGCGUGGAGGAUGAAGGGUUUUUAACUUGUAAACUCCUGUAAAGAAGGAAAAAAUUCCCAUUAGAUGGGAAAUGAUGGUACUUCUGGAGUAAGCCCCGGCUAACUACGUGCCAGCAGCCGCGGUAAUACGUAGGGGGCAAGCGUUGUCCGGAUUUACUGGGUGUAAAGGGUGCUCAGGCGGAUUUGUAAGUCAGAGGUGAAAUCUCACAGCUUAACUGUGAAACUGCCUUUGAUACUGCAAGCCUAGAGUAUGGAAGAGAGUGAUGGAAUAUCUGGUGUAGCAGUGAAAUGCGUAGAUAUCAGAUAGAACACCAAUGGCGAAGGCAGUCACUUGGUCCAUAACUGACGCUAAAGCACGAAAGCGUGGGUAGCAAACAGGAUUAGAUACCCUGGUAGUCCACGCCCUAAACGAUGAAUACUAGAUGUUGGCUUCGCAUGAAGUCUGUAUCUGAGCUAACGCAUUAAGUAUUCCACCUGGGAAGUACGAUCGCAAGGUUGAAACUCAAAGGAAUUGACGGGGUCAUAGCUGUUUCCUG